CAGCCGCCACGGGAAUACGUAGGUGGCAAGCGUUGUCCGGAAUUAUUGGGCGUAAAGGGCUCGCAGGCGGUUUCUUAAGUCUGAUGUGAAAGCCCCCGUCUCAACCGGGGAGGGUCAUUGGAAACUGGGAAACUUGAGUGCAGAAGAGGAGAGUGGAAUUCCACGUGUAGCGGUGAAAUGCGUAGAGAUGUGGAGGAACACCAGUGGCGAAGGCGACUCUCUGGUCUGUAACUGACGCUGAGGAGCGAAAGCGUGGGGAGCGAACAGGAUUAGAUACCCCCGUAGUCCCUGUCUCUUAUAC
RNAcentral lists this ribosomal RNA (301 nucleotides) under uncultured bacterium. RNAcentral describes it as "partial 16S ribosomal RNA". It matches the Rfam family "Bacterial small subunit ribosomal RNA", at positions 509 to 807 of the family's 1533-position model. The record is from RNAcentral.